RNAcentral lists this microRNA precursor (85 nucleotides) under Tupaia belangeri chinensis (Chinese tree shrew). RNAcentral describes it as "Tupaia chinensis (Chinese tree shrew) mir-497 microRNA precursor family". It matches the Rfam family "mir-497 microRNA precursor family". The record is from Rfam by way of RNAcentral. Lineage: Eukaryota; Metazoa; Chordata; Mammalia; Scandentia; Tupaiidae.
CCCGCUCCCGCCCCAGCAGCACACUGUGGUUUGUACGGCACUGUGGCCACGUCCAAACCACACUGUGGUGUUAGAGCGAGGGUGG